CCAAUAGCGUAUAUUAAAGUUGUUGCAGUUAAAAAGCUCGUAGUUGAAUUUCGGGGUCAGUAGGAUGGUCGUGCCAAUGGUAUGUACUGGCUUUACUGAUUCCUCCUUCUUGAAGAACUGUAAUGCCAUUAAUUUGGUGUUGCAGGGAAUCAGGACUGUUACUUUGAAAAAAUUAGAGUGUUUAAAGCAGGCUUACGCUGGAAUACAUUAGCAUGGAAUAAUGAGAUAGGACGUUGAUCUUAUUUUGUUGGUUUCUAGGAUUGACGUAAUGAUUAAUAGGGAUAGUUGGGGGCAUUAGUAUUCAAUUGUCAGAGGUGAAAUUCUUGGAUUUAUUGAAGACUAACUACUGCGAAAGCAUUUGCCAGGGAUGUUUUCAUUAAUCAAGAACGAAAGUUAGGGGAUCGAAGACGAUCAGAUACCGUCGUAGUCUUAACCAUAAACUAUGCCGACUAGGGAUCGGAUGAUGUUAAUUUUUUAAUGACUCAUUCGGCGCCUUACG
RNAcentral lists this ribosomal RNA (499 nucleotides) under uncultured Glomeromycotina. RNAcentral's name for it is "partial small subunit ribosomal RNA". It matches the Rfam family "Eukaryotic small subunit ribosomal RNA", at positions 591 to 1092 of the family's 1831-position model. The record is from RNAcentral. Lineage: Eukaryota; Fungi; Glomeromycota.